UCUCCUCCCAUCUACACUGGGUCCAGGUAGAUAUGGAGUAGAAACACCUCUUUGUCUACGCUGGGUCCAGGUGGAGGUGGGGCAGGGUCUCCUCCUGUCUACACUGGGUCCAGGUAAAUGUGGAGUAGGGACACCUCUUUGUCUACUCUG
Homo sapiens (human) is the source of this 150-nucleotide long non-coding RNA. RefSeq lists it as uncharacterized. NCBI's taxonomy places the organism in Eukaryota, Metazoa, Chordata, Mammalia, Primates, Hominidae. The record is from RefSeq and is a predicted model, not a curated record. The transcript is spliced from 3 exons.